This 413-nucleotide ribosomal RNA is filed under the name uncultured prokaryote. Its description in RNAcentral is "bacterial SSU rRNA". It matches the Rfam family "Bacterial small subunit ribosomal RNA", at positions 505 to 918 of the family's 1533-position model. The record is from RNAcentral.
GUGUCAGCAGCCGCGGUAAUACGGAGGGGGUUAGCGUUGUUCGGAAUUACUGGGCGUAAAGCGCGCGUAGGCGGACAUUUAAGUCAGGGGUGAAAUCCCGGGGCUCAACCCCGGAACUGCCCUUGAUACUGGGUGUCUUGAGUUCGAGAGAGGUGAGUGGAAUUCCGAGUGUAGAGGUGAAAUUCGUAGAUAUUCGGAGGAACACCAGUGGCGAAGGCGGCUCACUGGCUCGAUACUGACGCUGAGGUGCGAAAGUGUGGGGAGCAAACAGGAUUAGAUACCCUGGUAGUCCACACCGUAAACGAUGAAUGCCAGACGUCGGGCAGUAUACUGUUCGGUGUCACACCUAACGGAUUAAGCAUUCCGCCUGGGGAGUACGGUCGCAAGAUUAAAACUUAAAUGAAUUGACGGGG